Molecule: unclassified non-coding RNA, 3704 nt
Filed under: Gigantopelta aegis
Lineage: Eukaryota; Metazoa; Mollusca; Gastropoda; Neomphalida; Peltospiridae
Description: putative ATP-dependent RNA helicase DHX57, transcript variant X2
Source: RNAcentral
AACACACUGGUUGUAACAGAAGAAGUUGGCAAUGAUGUGGUUGUGCAUGUUAUGCUAGCUAGCAUGCCACUGUUCUUACUCUUAGCCUUAGGCAUACACUGAUGACACAUCUGGCUGAGUUUAAAUUCAAGUGGUUUGUAAAUGGAACGAGGACGUGCACGAAAGAGAGGCCACCCUAAUCGGGGUGGUGGCAGAUUUAACAGAGGUCGAGGGGGUGUCCAGCCGGGUCGAGGUCGUGGCAGAGGUCAGCGAAUAGCCCGUGGCGGUGGCGGUGGGGCAAGCCGGGGUGGAGGAAGUGGUUUUCAGCGUAAGGGAGUUGGCGACCUGGAUGACUGGGAAGAUCGGCCGCUAGAUGGACUGCACAGGGAAGACCAGGAUUAUGGUUACACACAUCCUUCACAGAGUCAUGGUUACACACAUUCUUCACAGAGUCGUGGUUACACACAUUCUUCACAGAGUCGUGAACCUGUCAAAGUCUGGUCACGGCCACCAAAGGUCAAGGUUGCCAUGCAGAGGAUUCAGAUGAGUAGAGAAAACCAAGACAUGAUUCGAGACAUGCUGCAAGACUUACAUGGAGAGGAGUUAGACAUUCCUUGUGAAGAGGAUUACGACUACCUUGACGUUCGUUCUGAAGACCAGUACUGGCUGUCGGACGGCACUCUGCAGAUUGAAGAUAGUUACAGCUAUGCAACUGAGGAUACCCAUUCCAAAACAGCAUUUGUUGUAAACCAGUUUGCCAUUAACAAACUGGUCCGAUACGGCUUUGAUAAGGAGAGAUGUACAGAGGCCUAUGAAAGUGCUGACGGCGACAUUGGUGCAUCUCUCGAACAACUGUUGUGUGAAUGCUUUAAGGAUGACUUAGAGACAGCUAAACACCCUGAAGCAGCUUCCUGUAAACAAGACAGCAGUUUCUGGCAGGAGGUCAUGGAAAGCCGAGACGAGGAAAUGAUUGCCUUGAAAUCUAUUUAUGAGGACAAGUUUGAGGAGAGAAUUGGUAAUACUGUGUGGGUUCUGAAUCUUGACUUGGAUCACUUGACAGAAAUGGUUGCUCCUCAAGCAUGCGUGAAAAGAACUAGAGCUCAAGCUGCCAAUAACGUUUCAAACAAUAUAUGUAAAUAUUUUUUAAGUGGUACUUGUAAAUAUGCAAACCGGUGUAAGUUCAAGCAUGUUAAAGAGGAAGAAGAUAAUUCGUUGGCUAGCGCUGAAUCGUUUCUGUACCAUCUGGAAGUUCGUUUUCCUUCAGGGAACUGUUACCCUCAGGAACCGCCAUUACUGGCAUUUUCUUCAACCUAUCAGUUCAUGCCCACACAUAUAAGUCUGAAUAUCACUAAACACCUAAUGAAAGAAGCUGUCAGUCUCUCUCUUACGGGUGAACCUGCCAUUUUUACUCUAGUCAGUCUGCUGGAUGAUGUUCCUCUGUUGAAGUCGAUCGUUGAUGGAGCACCCUCUGAAAUGAGUGUACCAAGGGCAGUAACUAGUCGAUUUAGGCCUGUGAGGCAGAAGGUAAUGAAGUCUUCCCAAGAGGAAGAGGAGGAUGAUGAGGAUGAGGGGAGCGAUGUAGAUAAGGAAACUAUUGAGGCUUUGGUUAGAAUGACAGAGAAGGAAAGUGAAGUAACCACAGAGGAAGAGGUCCAGCCACAGAAGUUUAGAAGGAAGGACAUCGUACGUCCUCCAUUACCUGAAGCACAGCUCAGAAAGAUGAACCGGGUUUUAAAACAAGAAUAUCAGAGGAAAAGGAAUGUUUCUUCUUACAAGAAGAUGCAAGUCCAACGACAAAGCUUACCAGCAUGGGACAUGCAGGAUCUGCUGGUGGAUGCCAUUAGUAAUCAACAAGUUAUGGUUAUCAGUGGGAUGACAGGAUGUGGUAAAACCACACAGGUUCCUCAGUUUUUACUUGAUUUCUACCUUACGACGAAGGAUGGUGACAUGUGUAACAUUGUGUGUACCCAGCCUCGCCGCAUCUCAGCCAUAUCCGUCGCAGAAAGAGUAGCCGAGGAACGAGCCUGCAAACUGGGAGGCAUUGUGGGAUACCAGAUCAGACUGGAGAGUGUGCAGUCCUCGAAGACGCGGUUGCUGUUCUGCACUACGGGAAUCAUUCUGAGACACCUGGAGGGUGACCCGUACCUCACGGGCAUCACUCACAUCAUUGUGGACGAGGUUCAUGAGCGCUCACAAGACAGUGAUUUCCUGCUGAUGAUUCUGAAAGAUCUGUUGCCACUGCGACCUGAUCUGAAAGUCAUCUUAAUGAGUGCCACACUCAAUGCUGAGCUUUUCUCCACGUAUUUUGGUCAAUGCAGAACGAUUGAAAUUCCAGGAAAAACCUUUCCAGUAGACCAGUACUUUCUUGAGGAUGUAAUCGAGGAAACAGGGUUUGUUUUGGAGGACGGUUCCCCCUAUGCCCGUUCUCUGAAGAGAACAAGUGCGAGCCCUGGAGAGACGUGCCAUUCUGUUGACGACAUCACAGACGAGAUACGAUCACUGAGCUGUGGUAGUUCAGUGCCAUACCCCAAAGACAACAUCCGUGAUGAGAACCUCACAGUCAAACAGUUGUUUGCAAGAUAUUCAGAUGGAGUCAGCCGAUCAACAAUUAAAACACUGGCAAUGGUUGACCAUGACAAAAUCAACAUGGAUCUCAUCAUUUCCAUACUGGAGUGGAUUAUACAUGGGGAUCAUGAAUACCCGAGGAAUGGUGCUGUGUUAAUAUUCAUGCCCGGGUUUGCUGAGAUCCAGUCAUUCUAUGAUACACUGCUGUCUCAUUCGGAGUUCAGAAACAAGUCACGGUUUAAAGUCAUUCCCUUGCACUCCACUCUUUCUAGUGAAGACCAGCAUGCUGUGUUUCAGAGUCCACCAAAAGGUGUUACUAAAAUUGUAAUAGCCACUAAUAUUGCUGAGACAUCCAUUACAAUUGAUGAUGUUGUCUUUGUGGUUGACACGGGAAGAAUGAAAGAAAAAAGGUAUGAUUCUUCGAAAGGCAUGGAGAGCCUGGAACUGGUUUGGGUAUCGAGAGCGAAUGCUCUACAAAGGAGAGGUCGCGCUGGUCGUGUGACGUCCGGAGUGUGUUUUCACCUGUUCACGAGUCAUCGCUUUGAACACCAUCUGAGAGAACAGCCAAUCCCAGAGAUUCAAAGAGCUCCUCUUGAACAAAUCUGUCUCAGAAUAAAAAUGAUGGAUAUUUUCAAAGAUAAUAAUAUUAAAGAUGUGUUGAUGAAUCUGGUAGAGCCUCCAGCCAUGCAGUCCAUUGAUGAUGCUCUCAAAAGACUGCAGGAUCUUGGCGCACUCAACCCUGAUAUGGAGCUAACUCCUCUUGGAUACCACCUUGGAUCUCUGCCUGUUGAUGUUAGAAUUGGCAAAUUGAUGCUGUUUGGUGCAAUAUUUCGGUGUCUGGAUUCUAUACUCACAAUAGCUGCCACUCUAAGCUCAAAGUCUCCUUUUGUGUCACCAUUUGACAAACGUCAAGAAGCUGACAACAAAAAACUGGAGUUUGCGUUGGGCAACUCGGACCAUUUGACUGUGCUAAAUGCCUACAUGGUACACAAGUGGUUUCAGUAUCAUCCAGGGUUGGAUUAAUGCCAGGAAGAGAAGCUCCCAAGAAGGAUUUCAUUUCUGCAGAGAGAAUUUCCUCUCUGUCAAAUCUCUUCAGAUGUUGUCGAGUCUGAAACAGCAGUUUGUGGAGCUGAUCUCAGAUAUUGGCUUUGUGAAGGAAG